This 490-nucleotide ribosomal RNA is filed under the name Saccharomyces cerevisiae (brewer's yeast). RNAcentral describes it as "eukaryotic LSU rRNA". It matches the Rfam family "Eukaryotic large subunit ribosomal RNA", at positions 76 to 570 of the family's 3401-position model. The record is from RNAcentral. Lineage: Eukaryota; Fungi; Ascomycota; Saccharomycetes; Saccharomycetales; Saccharomycetaceae.
UGCCUUAGUAACGGCGAGUGAGCGGCAAAGCUCAAAUUUGAAAUCUGGUACCUUCGGUGCCCGAGUUGUAAUUUGGAGAGGGCAACUUUGGGGCCGUUCCUUGUCUAUGUUCCUUGGAACAGGACGUCAUAGAGGGUGAGAAUCCCGUGUGGCGAGGAGUGCGGUUCUUUGUAAAGUGCCUUCGAAGAGUCGAGUUGUUUGGGAAUGCAGCUCUAAGUGGGUGGUAAAUUCCAUCUAAAGCUAAAUAUUGGCGAGAGACCGAUAGCGAACAAGUACAGUGAUGGAAAGAUGAAAAGAACUUUGAAAAGAGAGUGAAAAAGUACGUGAAAUUGUUGAAAGGGAAGGGCAUUUGAUCAGACAUGGUGUUUUGUGCCCUCUGCUCCUUGUGGGUAGGGGAAUCUCGCAUUUCACUGGGCCAGCAUCAGUUUUGGUGGCAGGAUAAAUCCAUAGGAAUGUAGCUUGCCUCGGUAAGUAUUAUAGCCUGUGGGAA